UGACUGACCGAUAGUGAACCAGUACCGUGAGGGAAAGGCGAAAAGAACCCCGGCGAGGGGAGUGAAAAAGAACCUGAAACCGUGUACGUACAAGCAGUGGGAGCACCUUCGGGUGUGACUGCGUACCUUUUGUAUAAUGGGUCAGCGACUUAUAUUCUGUAGCAAGGUUAACCGUAUAGGGGAGCCGCAGGGAAACCGAGUCUUAACUGGGCGUUAAGUUGCAGGGUAUAGACCCGAAACCCGGUGAUCUAGCCAUGGGCAGGUUGAAGGUUGGGUAACACUAACUGGAGGACCGAACCGACUAAUGUUGAAAAAUUAGCGGAUGACUUGUGGCUGGGGGUGAAAGGCCAAUCAAACCGGGAGAUAGCUGGUUCUCCCCGAAAGCUAUUUAGGUAGCGCCUCGUGAACUCAUCUUCGGGGGUAGAGCACUGUUUCGGCUAGGGGGUCAUCCCGACUUACCAACCCGAUGCAAACUACGAAUACCGAAGAAUGUUAUCACGGGAGACACACGGCGGGUGCUAACGUCCGUCGUGAAGAGGGAAACAACCCAGACCGCCAGCUAAGGUCCCAAAGUCAUGGUUAAGUGGGAAACGAUGUGGGAAGGCACAGACAGCCAGGAUGUUGGCUUAGAAGCAGCCAUCAUUUAAAGAAAGCGUAAUAGCUCACUGGUCGAGUCGGCCUGCGCGGAAGAUGUAACGGGGCUAAACCAUGCACCGAAGCUGCGGCAGCGACACUAUGUGUUGUUGGGUAGGGGAGCG
RNAcentral lists this ribosomal RNA (758 nucleotides) under Klebsiella pneumoniae. RNAcentral's name for it is "partial 23S ribosomal RNA". It matches the Rfam family "Bacterial large subunit ribosomal RNA", at positions 477 to 1238 of the family's 2925-position model. Lineage: Bacteria; Pseudomonadati; Pseudomonadota; Gammaproteobacteria; Enterobacterales; Enterobacteriaceae. The record is from RNAcentral.